This is a long non-coding RNA of Ceratosolen solmsi marchali, 251 nucleotides long. RefSeq lists it as uncharacterized. The transcript has 3 exons. The record is from RefSeq and is a predicted model, not a curated record. NCBI's taxonomy places the organism in Eukaryota, Metazoa, Arthropoda, Insecta, Hymenoptera, Agaonidae.
CCGGGAGAUUCAUCCGCCGACAGUGCUUGGGAGGAGAAAGGACCCGCGUGGUGCAGCGCCGAUAUCAACCCCCUCCCACCCACCAGCCAAGGCUCAUAAAAUAAGGUGGCGACAUGUCGACGUUGAGAUCCGGGCUCUGCCGACCCGGGAUCAUCCUGUAUUUGGCUUUCAUCGUACUGUCCGCACGGAGUUCAGAGUCUGCUCCAGUUUAUGAAUCUGACUCGACGCAGGUUGCAGAAUAUGAUGCAGGU